Small nuclear RNA from Suncus etruscus (white-toothed pygmy shrew), 103 nucleotides. The record is from RefSeq and is a predicted model, not a curated record. Lineage: Eukaryota; Metazoa; Chordata; Mammalia; Eulipotyphla; Soricidae.
GCGCUUGCUUCGGCAGUACAUAUACUAAAAUUGGAACAAUACAGGGAAGGCAUAGCUCCUGCACAAGGAUGACAUGCAAAUUCGUGAAGCGUUCCAUAUUUUA